Long non-coding RNA from Mustela lutreola (European mink), 448 nucleotides. RefSeq lists it as uncharacterized. The transcript has 3 exons. Lineage: Eukaryota; Metazoa; Chordata; Mammalia; Carnivora; Mustelidae. The record is from RefSeq and is a predicted model, not a curated record.
AUAAUUCAGUUCACUUAAGAUGAGGACAAAACAGAUUUUGGCAUUUCCAGGAAGUCUAGGAUGGAAAAAUUUCUUGUGUGCCUGCACAGUCUUCAGCCACGUGGUGAAGCACCAAGCUCCAGCAAUUUAGAUUCCCAUAUGGCCAUUUGGUUGUUACUGCAUGAAGGAUAUUGGCUGUGGAAUGAAGUUAACUGGUUGAAUUCUUAUCUGAAAAAUUGGGAAAUAUUUCAAAUGCACAGUGCUCACACUUGGUGUGUGCAUGAGUGAGUGCCCUCGGUGGACAAGUCUCCAGGUCCCCAGCCCAGAUGAAAAGGUCUGGUGGGGUUUGCAGUUGGAGAGGAGACUCACGAGCCCCUGCUUCCCCAGUUCCAUACCACUGAGCGCACUGUGGCCUCAGCCACUCACCCUGAGAAGCACAAGUGGAUAUGAGGAAAAGUGGGAGAAGUUU